Molecule: ribosomal RNA, 328 nt
Filed under: uncultured Streptococcus sp.
Lineage: Bacteria; Bacillati; Bacillota; Bacilli; Lactobacillales; Streptococcaceae
Description: bacterial SSU rRNA
Rfam family: Bacterial small subunit ribosomal RNA
Source: RNAcentral
UCGUCAGCUCGUGUCGUGAGAUGUUGGUUAAGUCCCGCAACGAGCGCAACCCCUAUUGUUAGUUGCCAUCAUUCAGUUGGGCACUCUAGCGAGACUGCCGGUAAUAAACCGGAGGAAGGUGGGGAUGACGUCAAAUCAUCAUGCCCCUUAUGACCUGGGCUACACACGUGCUACAAUGGUUGGUACAACGAGUUGCGAGUCGGUGACGGCGAGCUAAUCUCUUAAAGCCAAUCUCAGUUCGGAUUGUAGGCUGCAACUCGCCUACAUGAAGUCGGAAUCGCUAGUAAUCGCGGAUCAGCACGCCGCGGUGAAUACGUUCCCGGGCCUU